This is a long non-coding RNA of Lemur catta (Ring-tailed lemur), 651 nucleotides long. RefSeq lists it as uncharacterized. The record is from RefSeq and is a predicted model, not a curated record. Lineage: Eukaryota; Metazoa; Chordata; Mammalia; Primates; Lemuridae. The transcript is spliced from 2 exons.
GUGUGAACAUGGAAAAAGGAUUGGGUUGAUGGAAGAAGACCCCAUCUCUAGUCUAAUUGGACCGUGAGUGGAAAACAAAGAUGUGGCACGUUUUUGCGUAAGAUCUGGCUGGCACGUGCUCGCCCACCUCUGGACUUCGGGCUUUGCUCUCAUUCAACUGUAUGUCAUGGUCCCUGAUGCAUGUGCAUCACCCUUGUCACCCGUCUGAGGACAGGACCUGGUGCCUUCAUCUCUGAAAUCUCCCAGCAUGCCGAGCAGCAGGUGGCAGACAGCACUUAACAGGGGUCAGAAGGAUGGUUCAACCUUGGAGCAGUCAGCCAGUCUCUCAGUUUCCACACCUGUAAAAUGGAUGCAGUGCUGUCUAUCCAUCCUCCUUCCUAAAGUUUCAGAGUCUCCAGUUCCUGCUACGUACUACCACUAAUCGGGUCUUUGCUUUCUCCCAGCCAGUCUGUUAGUAGGUAAGACCUGAGGUGAGGCCCUUGCACCAGCGUCACCUGGGACUAUGUUAGAAACGUGGACUCUCAGGCCUCACACCAGAUCCACCGAACCAGGAUCCACAUUCUACCAGGCUCCCCAGGAAAUCCACGUGCACGCUGAGAAGGCCUUUUCUAGAUUGCAACUGACACACAUUAAACAUAAGAGUGAGCGAGA